GAAUCUUGCGCAAUGGGCGCAAGCCUGAUCCAGCCAUGCCGCGUGAGUGAUGAAGGCCCUAGGGUUGUAAAGCUCUUUUGUGCGGGAAGAUAAUGACUGUACCGCAAGAAUAAGCCCCGGCUAACUUCGUGCCAGCAGCCGCGGUAAUACGAAGGGGGCUAGCGUUGCUCGGAAUCACUGGGCGUAAAGCGCACGUAGGCGGACUCUUAAGUCGGUGGUGAAAUCCUGGAGCUCAACUCCAGAACUGCCUUCGAUACUGGGAGUCUCGAGUUCGGGAGAGGUGAGUGGAACUGCGAGUGUAGAGGUGAAAUUCGUAGAUAUUCGCAAGAACACCAGUGGCGAAGGCGGCUCACUGGCCCGAUACUGACGCUGAGGUGCGAAAGCGUGGGGAGCAAACAGG
This 400-nucleotide ribosomal RNA is filed under the name uncultured bacterium. RNAcentral describes it as "bacterial SSU rRNA". It matches the Rfam family "Bacterial small subunit ribosomal RNA", at positions 359 to 776 of the family's 1533-position model. The record is from RNAcentral.